RNAcentral lists this long non-coding RNA (593 nucleotides) under Capra hircus (goat). RNAcentral describes it as "lncRNA (ENSCHIG00010001794.1)". Lineage: Eukaryota; Metazoa; Chordata; Mammalia; Artiodactyla; Bovidae. The record is from RNAcentral.
GCAAGCUGCAAAUUUCAUCUCCUUUGAAGCUCUGCCACCCUUAAAAUUACACUCUGAGCCUGAUUAUCACUAUGGAAGUCCUAUGGCUAAGGAGAUAUUGGUCACUAAACACUGCCAAGAUGACCUUCUGGCUUUCAGUGUGCCCUAAUUUGACAGUUGGCUGAUCAGAAUUUGUUACUUUCUUUUUGCAAGGCUUCCAAGACAGUUAACAAAUGCUAACAAAUUCCAAAGUCCUUUACCCCCAAAACAUUCUAGGGACAGAGAUACUGGAUAACCCAUUUCUUCUUGUUUCAUUCCAUCCCAGGUGAGAUUCCCAGGAACUGAGAUGCAGGCCAGGGAUUACCACCACCCUGCUUAUCCUAUCAGUGAGGGAAAAAAGAAAAGAAUUGGAAGCCUUGCAGUUGAAUCCAGGAGUGUGUCCAUGCCUUGCAACAGGAUGCCUUAAACAGAUGGAUAAAAUAUAGAACAUAAUAAAUUUUAUGACUAAUAUAUAAUUCUGCAGAAAUUGCCCUCUUUCUAACAGGUGAGUAAAGGUUUAUAUAGAGAUUUGUUAUCUCUAUAUUUAAAUUAAGAAACUACAGCCUUGAAAAAAU